Long non-coding RNA from Gossypium raimondii (Peruvian cotton), 2412 nucleotides. RefSeq lists it as uncharacterized. Lineage: Eukaryota; Viridiplantae; Streptophyta; Magnoliopsida; Malvales; Malvaceae. The transcript has 6 exons. The record is from RefSeq and is a predicted model, not a curated record.
CCCAACUCUCUGUUUGUCUGAAAAAGAAAAGAAUCCAAAAGAUGCUUCGAUCCUCAUGCAGUAACCGAGUCUCGAGCGAGCUCUUCUUGGACUCACCUGAUUCCCAAUCACUGAGUUCGAAUCAACAUGGUUCAGAGACGGUUUUCUUGGACAAACAACUACUUCCGAUGUAUAACCCCCUUUCACGCGCCGCCGAGAAAGAAAGGUCCCACCUUAGAUCUGCUGAGAACGCCGUCCACAUCAUCCCUUUCGUUCUCGUUUUUUGCGGUUUCAUCCUUUGGUUAUUCUCCAGCAUAGAAUCAAGGGUUUGAAGAUUGAUAUCAAAAUCAAGAGUACUUUUUGUGCAUGGGGCAACUUGAUUCAAAAAUUGAAGCUGUUAAGAGCUUCAAUUCAACAAACCAAGUGGUAUAUACAUAACCUGUGAGGUUGUGAAAGAAUGGAAUGUAGCUCGGGUUCUUUUCAAAUAGAUAGUUCAUUUGCUACUGAAAAAACAUUUUUUGUUUUUGUACAAUGCAGAUGAUUUAAUGCACUUUUCAAUGUCAAAUGUAUACAAGAUGAAAGUUAAUGUAUUUUCAAUUGAUGAGAAACAUCUAUUUGUUCAUUCUUGCUAGUUAUGGUCAUUGGUUUAAUAUUAACUUCAACAAUUUCCCAGUAAUUUUUAAUGCUAUUGGAUACUUGAAUCUUGAAUUGGUGCCAGAGUAUCGAUUUGCAGGUACGACGAUGAGAUUCAACUAUUUCGGGUGGAGAAUCUGCUUGUGGCAGGUAAUGGAACUCCUGGAAUCAUAUAAUGUGCUGCAUAUUUUCCAUUUCUAUAAUCUGCAAUGCGCUUUUCUUCACUGAAUUCGACUUGGUUGUAUGGUUAUAUCUGGACAAAUGCUCGACUAGGGACAAGUAACAUUGCUCAUUUUGUCAAAGAAAGCUCUGUAAUUUCAUGUUUAAUUAAUAAAUGAUGGAUAGAACAGCUUCAAAUGGCAAUGAUAUAUAGUUUGUUUUCUUUCUUGCUACUUAUGGUCUUGAAAUCUUUACAUUUUUAUGCUUUGAGAGGCUCACACUCAAAAUUUGUGUGUUCAAGCACUGGUCCAAGUCUAACUAGUUUAGGUAUGACAAUAUUGUUACGAAUAGAACAGACAAGUUGAUUAUCCCACUGCAACAGUGAUCCAACAAGAUUUGCCCGUACGGUUAACGGAAAGACCCGAGGCCAUCUUUCUUCUCCAUAUGCCCUGAGAGCACCUUCUAUGGCUGCUGGUCCAGAUUUAAUUGCAUUAGCUAAUUUCCUGGUCAGUAUCACAGAAUCCUCUAAAGCACAACAAGCACCUUGCCCGAGGUUGGGAGUCAUCGGAUGCCAAGCAUCUCCAACCAGCACUACUUUGCCGGUUGAAGCAGGAGGGCUUAAACCCGGCCAUAACCAACGAUCAACAAGCGGGGUUUUACUGAUUGUCUCAUCUGGGCUGAGAUCAAUCAAUCUAAUUAACUCUUCAGGCCAGUUGUUUACGAGUUCCUUUGCUUGCUUCCUCAGCAAAGCUGGAUCAGUAAUCUUUGGACCUGCAACAAGCCAUGUCAGAAGGGUCGUUAUAAGGAGACACGGGGACAUAUCCAGCACGCAAACCUCUUCCGUAGAUAUAAUUAACAUUUGCUGCAAAUGGCUGCCCAUCGGGAUAAACUCCAAGUCCACGGAAAGCACUAUAUCCUGCAUACUUCGGCUCGGAGAAACCCAUCCAGUUGGCUAUCGGAGAUCUAAUUCCAUCACAACCGAUAACAAUCUGUUGAAGAAACAUAUUCAAUAACCCAAUUUCUUUCAACACAGCAACGUUGAAACUUGAGGUCUACUAACCUUUGCAAGCAACGUAGUCCCAUUGGUGGUAACUCGUUGGCAAGCGUCUCCAGUAGUAUUCUCCGCUCCACAGCACGAACUUCUUGGCUGCCAAAGUAAAAAAGGAGCGUAACUCCCUUCCAUCUUCUGAAUUCACCGCCAUCCUGCACAGCUGAUGCAAUUAACAAGUUCAGAAUAUGACCUGCGAAGAGACACUGCAGUGGCGAGACCAGCAAUCCCAGCUCCGACGAUGACGAUAUCUUCUUUUCGUACACCAGCUGAAGCUUUAAUGUUGACUGAGGGGUUGAGUUUGGUUCUGGGUUGAGCUCGGAACCAUGAUGGUUUCUGUGAAAAUCUGAUACCCUGAGAAUUGUAGAAAGAAGGUCGUGGCAUAUGGGAAGUGGUCAUUGCCAUGGUGAUAUAGAGUGUAAUGAGUUUGGGAAGUUUUGUGAUUGUUUUUUGAGAUUGGAGAAUAAAAAAAAAAAAACAUAAGAUUUUAAGUAUGGAAAUAAGUGGAGGAGAUGAAAGGAUCUUGUUGGUUCAUGUUGAGCCAUGUUUUUUGAUAAAAAAAAAUGAUACUUUGAUAUAGAAAAUUCUCCAAA